GGGUGCAUAGCUCAGUUGGUCAGAGCGCACGGUUCACAUCCGUGAGGUCGCUGGUUCGAGUCCAGCUGCGCCCA
RNAcentral lists this transfer RNA (74 nucleotides) under Chloroflexota bacterium. RNAcentral describes it as "Chloroflexi bacterium tRNA-Val". It matches the Rfam family "tRNA". Rfam says of the family: Transfer RNA (tRNA) molecules are approximately 80 nucleotides in length. Their secondary structure includes four short double-helical elements and three loops (D, anti-codon, and T loops). The record is from RNAcentral. Lineage: Bacteria; Bacillati; Chloroflexota.